Molecule: long non-coding RNA, 253 nt
Organism: Neltuma alba
Lineage: Eukaryota; Viridiplantae; Streptophyta; Magnoliopsida; Fabales; Fabaceae
Exons: 2
Source: RefSeq, a predicted model, not a curated record
CCCCAGAGAGAAACCUGGAUGUAUUGCUUGUGCAGCUGCUGCUGUUGUUGUUACAAUUGCAAUUGUUAUUAUUGCAAUAAUGCAUUAAUGGAAGCACAUCACUGAGAUGACUUGUAAUAUAAUUUUCAGAGAAGUGCCUCUGUUUCAUAUUAUACUGAACCCACGGGUUUUAUAUAUAUAUAUAUAUAUAUAUUAAUGGGAGGUUGAACGUGUUUCUUUAAUAUUGACUUAUGAAAGGCAUAUGAUACACAUG